AUCCAGCUGGCGAGUCCCAAACAGGACGAAGCGCGCGUCCUGGAU
Non-coding RNA from Schistosoma curassoni, 45 nucleotides. Lineage: Eukaryota; Metazoa; Platyhelminthes; Trematoda; Strigeidida; Schistosomatidae. The record is from Rfam.